GGCACGUCUACGGGGAUUAAAAAUAUAGAUGCCUCUUACAUUAGUGAAGUCUGAAGAUAUUCCAGCAAGUGAUGGUAUCUAAUGAUGGAAGGAAUGUCAAAAUGGACGUCAUGACUUCUCACCCCAGGCAGGUUCUGUUUGUAGGAGGGACUCUGUUCCGGAAUGGCAGCUCUUUGAGCCACUCUGCCAGCCUGGAAGAACCCUUUGAUUGCUGGCUGCUUUGGGGAGUCAAGUCUGGCGGACACUCCAGAACGGUGUGCAAAAUGACACAGGUGGGUGCAGCUGCGGAGGAGGGGAAUUGGCAGAACUCAGUGGAUUUCAACAUUUCUUCCAUAAAUGUUUAUAGAAAUGUUUCUUUUCAAUUGUGAAAGAGCUUCAGAUGAAUUUCUAUGUGAUAAAGAGAAACACACCCUCAGGAUCUUUCAUCCACAUUUCAGCUCAGCUUAUUUUGUUUUAGACACCACAUAGAAAGUUGCAUUUUGAUGGAUUUGGGGGAUGUUGUAUGCAAUGUCACCUUUCAUAUAAGCCAUAUUUACUUCCGUGCCACUUUUUAUUCCAGGUUUGGACAU
Long non-coding RNA from Hemicordylus capensis (graceful crag lizard), 569 nucleotides. RefSeq lists it as uncharacterized. The record is from RefSeq and is a predicted model, not a curated record. NCBI's taxonomy places the organism in Eukaryota, Metazoa, Chordata, Lepidosauria, Squamata, Cordylidae. The transcript has 3 exons.